CCCUUAGAUGUCCGGGGCUGCACGCGCGCUACACUGAAGGAAUCAGCGUGCUAAAACCAUUGUCGAAAGGCAUUGGUAAACCCAUUAAAAUCCUACGUGAUUGGGAUCGGGAAUUGCAAUUAUUUCUCUUGAACGAGGAAUUCCCAGUAAGUGUGGGUCAUAAGCUCGCGUUGAUUACGUCCCUGCCCUUUGUACACACCGCCCGUCGCUGCCCGGGACUGAGCCGUUUCGAGAAAAGCGGGGACUGCUGCUGUCGGGGCUUUCGGGCCUUGGCUUCGGUGGAAACCGCUUUAAUCGCAGUGGCUUGAACCGGGCAAAAGUCGUAACA
RNAcentral lists this ribosomal RNA (328 nucleotides) under uncultured eukaryote. Its description in RNAcentral is "partial 18S ribosomal RNA". It matches the Rfam family "Eukaryotic small subunit ribosomal RNA", at positions 1470 to 1796 of the family's 1831-position model. The record is from RNAcentral.